GUGACUGGCCGCCGACGGAUCCACCUCCUUCCAAUCUCUGAUUCCCCACACCCGUCGCCGUACUUCUCCUCAUUUUCUCCCGACCAAGAGCGCCAGCGACCUGGCUCUUCUUCCUCCUCCAGACCAAAUGUGUCACCGGUCCCGCUCCUCUUCCUCCUCCUGGCACGCGCGCCGCCAUCCCCGCACCUCCUUCCUCCUCCUGGCACGUGCGCUACCAUCCCCGUGCCUCCUUCCUCCUCCUGGCACCUGUGCCUCCUUCCUCUUCCUAGUACCCGUGCCGCCGCCCCCGCACCUCCUUCCUCCUCCUAGCACGCGUGCUGCCGCCGCACCUCCUUACUCCUCCUGCCAUGCGCACCGCCGCCCCGACCUUCCCUGCCGCACUCUCCUCCCAGGCUCAUGCCGCCGCCCCGACCACAUCUCCACCAGCUCCGGCCACCGCCGCGCCCCCAUCUCCCCCGGCUCCCACACCGCGCAUCUCGUCCUAGUGGGGCUCCAUAACCACAGUACCGGACCACCCCAGGCCAUUCAACGCCACCAACCCGGCCCGUUCAUUGCAGCAACACCCAGGAUCUAGCUACCACCAUGUCGUUCCCACGGUGACGUUCGAUGGAGCACCUCGUCUCUCUCCUGCUGCAGGGAGGCCAGCUACUGCACUGUGGAGUGAGCUGUAAAAAAUGUGGCAAAUUAGGUAGAGAUUAAACACCCCCCGGAGCACACCGUCAGUGUCCAUGAGCGGGGCUCCCGUGGAUGGCUGGAUCCCGUCGUCGGCGUCGAUAGCGUCCACGAGCGCGAGCACCCCACAUCCGGCGUACAAAUAGCUCCACUAGAAUUGGUAACUGGUGGAGAUCAUUCAUGUUGAUUACUUUUGACAAGAAUAAUAGUCCACUAGAGAAUUUGCUGAAGAUUAGAUAGGAGUGAAAAAACUAAAGGUUUGGAAGUGAUGGUCGCGGCCUCUUCCUUCUGUAGGUCACCGCCUCCUGCUUCUGCAGGCCGUGCCCCAUCCCCCGAUUCCCGCAGCAGACAUGCCGCUCACCGCCGGCACCACAGUCCGUUCACUGCCGACAACCGAGGCCAUUCAACGACGCAACGACGAGCAUGAGAAGAUUUGUAGAUGCACAACAGAGUUUGUAGACUGCCAUGUUAAACAAUGUCAACAGGCAACAAGCAGCAAGGGAAAAAGAAGAGCAAGAUUGACAUCAGUAGUCAAAAAUAAUAGAACAUCAGUUCUAAAAUUCCCCACACAUCAGUACACCUAUUUCUGGUUCUCUAGAUUGGUCUUGGUACAUGAUACAUCUUAAGCUUGGUCUUGGUACAGGAUACAUCUUAAGCUGGAGUUCGUCGCUAAGCAGUUCAACGAGGUGGAGAUUGGGGCACGGUGGAGUGUGACCGUGUGUGUGCAGACGGCCCACCGCAACGUCACCGGCCGGAUCCCGCUCUUCAGUGUACAACAAGAAGUUCAUGUAUUGAUGCCCCUGGAGUCCAUGUAGCUCUGCUGCCGUGCUACCCUUAUCGGCCUCGGCUAUGUCGAAGGAGCUCCCUUAUGUUUAGUGGAUUCAACAAAAAAAAGUCCCUGCUGCCACUGCAUCCUGAGUUCAAGGGAUUCCUUAGGCGCUUUCUACACCAUCUUGCUAAUGAUGCCAUCGUUGGAUGCCACAGCCAUGCUCGUCGUUCUUGUACUACCAUUCACAUACUGCUCCCUGUUUUACUCCAUUGAGAUCCAUAGAAAUAAGUUAUAUUCAGUUCGCCACUUUUACAAUUGAUGGUCCUAUGUUGACCGAAACAAUAGUUCAAGCUCCUAAAAAAGCAAUCAUGUGUAUGCUACAUCACUUUGAGGAACUACAGCAAACAAAAUAAGGAGAGCUUGGUACUACUUGAUUUUUUUUAUAGUACUACUUGAAGCCUUUCUGUUGUAUACAUUGUCUCCUAUUUAUUAUAACCUCGUCAGAUUGUUGGAUGCA
Triticum urartu is the source of this 1958-nucleotide non-coding RNA. Lineage: Eukaryota; Viridiplantae; Streptophyta; Magnoliopsida; Poales; Poaceae. The record is from RefSeq and is a predicted model, not a curated record.